This 497-nucleotide ribosomal RNA is filed under the name uncultured bacterium. RNAcentral's name for it is "partial 16S ribosomal RNA". It matches the Rfam family "Bacterial small subunit ribosomal RNA", at positions 28 to 507 of the family's 1533-position model. The record is from RNAcentral.
GAUGAACGCUGGCGGCGUGCCUAAUACAUGCAAGUCGAGCGAACAGACGAGGAGCUUGCUCCUCUGACGUUAGCGUCGGACGGGUGAGUAACACGUGGAUAACCUACCUAUAAGACUGGGAUAACUUCGGGAAACCGGAGCUAAUACCGGAUAAUAUAUUGAACCGCAUGGUUCAAUAGUGAAAGACGGUUUUGCUGUCACUUAUAGAUGGAUCCGCGCCGCAUUAGCUAGUUGGUAAGGUAACGGCUUACCAAGGCAACGAUGCGUAGCCGACCUGAGAGGGUGAUCGGCCACAAUGGAACUGAGACAAGGUCCAGACUCCUAAGGGAGGCAGCAGUAGGGAAUCUUCCGCAAUGGGCGAAAGCCUGACGGAGCAACGCCGCGUGAGGGAUGAAGGUCUUCGGAUCGUAAAACUCUGUUAUUAGGGAAGAACAAAUGUGUAAGUAACUAUGCACGUCUUGACGGUACCUAAUCAGAAAGCCACGGCUAACUACGUG